RNAcentral lists this ribosomal RNA (433 nucleotides) under uncultured bacterium. Its description in RNAcentral is "partial 16S ribosomal RNA". It matches the Rfam family "Bacterial small subunit ribosomal RNA", at positions 29 to 507 of the family's 1533-position model. The record is from RNAcentral.
AACGAACGCUGGCGGCAUGCCUAACACAUGCAAGUCGAACGAGACCUUCGGGUCUAGUGGCGCACGGGUGCGUAACGCGUGGGAACCUGCCCUUAGGUUCGGAAUAACUCCCCGAAAGGGGUGCUAAUACCGGAUAAUGUCUUCGGACCAAAGAUUUAUCGCCUUUGGAUGGGCCCGCGUUGGAUUAGCUAGUUGGUAGGGUAAAAGCCUACCAAGGCGACGAUCCAUAGCUGGUCUGUGAGGAUGAUCAGCCACACUGGGACUGAGACACGGCCCAGGCUCUUACGGGAGGCAGAAGUGUGGAAUACUGGAAAAUGGGCGAGAGCCUGAUCAAGCAAUGGCGCGUGAGUGAUGAAGGUAUUAGGGUUGUAAAGCUCUUUUACCCGGGAUGAUAAUGACAGUACCGGGUGAAUAAGCUCCGGCUAACUACGUG